Long non-coding RNA from Hemicordylus capensis (graceful crag lizard), 437 nucleotides. RefSeq lists it as uncharacterized. The record is from RefSeq and is a predicted model, not a curated record. Lineage: Eukaryota; Metazoa; Chordata; Lepidosauria; Squamata; Cordylidae. The transcript has 2 exons.
GAGCGAGGGAGGAGCUUCCUCCUUCAACUCUGGUUAUUGCAGUCUCCAGCAUUCAGAUGUAACAACCCAGAAAUGGAACCUCAGGUGUUGAGAAAAAGGCAUCAUCCACAUCCAGAGUUUGGAGCUCCUCGUGAGUUGUAAAGAAAAGCAAGAACAAACAGUCUUCUGCACCAAUGUUCUUGAGCCAAUGCAACGUGUUGCGGGGGAAGAAGAUGACUUGGCCAGAUGUGACAAUGUAGGUAGUGACUGUGUUUCCACCGGCAUCGACAACACCAAUCCACGCAGUGCCCUGAAAAAUGCAGGUUGAGGCAGAACCAUGAUUUCUGUAUCAAGCUAACAUGCUAGCACCUAUUUAUUGCCAGUUAUAGUUCUCAAUAUUUAGCUUUUUAUUAAUAACUUAAUUUGAACGUUUUUUUAAAAAUGUAAUUUAAAAUGUA